AACGAACGCUGGCGGCAUGCCUAACACAUGCAAGUCGAACGAGACCUUCGGGUCUAGUGGCGCACGGGUGCGUAACGCGUGGGAACCUGCCCUUAGGUUCGGAAUAACUCCCCGAAAGGGGUGCUAAUACCGGAUAAUGUCUUCGGACCAAAGAUUUAUCGCCUUUGGAUGGGCCCGCGUUGGAUUAGCUAGUUGGUAGGGUAAAAGCCUAUCAAGGCGACGAUCCAUAGCUGGUCUGAGAGGAUGAUCAGCCACUGGGACUGAGACACGGCCCAGACUCCUACGGGAGGCAGCAGUGGGGAAUAUUGGACAAUGGGCGAAAGCCUGAUCCAGCAAUGCCGCGUGAGUGAUGAAGGCCUUAGGGUUGUAAAGCUCUUUUACCCGGGAUGAUAAUGACAGUACCGGGAGAAUAAGCUCCGGCUAACUCCGUG
This 431-nucleotide ribosomal RNA is filed under the name uncultured bacterium. RNAcentral's name for it is "partial 16S ribosomal RNA". It matches the Rfam family "Bacterial small subunit ribosomal RNA", at positions 29 to 507 of the family's 1533-position model. The record is from RNAcentral.